UAGGGAAUCUUCCACAAUGGACGCAAGUCUGAUGGAGCAACGCCGCGUGAGUGAAGAAGGUUUUCGGAUCGUAAAGCUCUGUUGUAAGAGAAGAACGUGUGUGAGAGUGGAAAGUUCACACAGUGACGGUAACUUACCAGAAAGGGACGGCUAACUACGUGCCAA
RNAcentral lists this ribosomal RNA (165 nucleotides) under uncultured bacterium. RNAcentral describes it as "partial 16S rRNA". It matches the Rfam family "Bacterial small subunit ribosomal RNA", at positions 355 to 511 of the family's 1533-position model. The record is from RNAcentral.